GUGUUGCUUACCUGCGGAAAGGAAUUCGAUGGUUUUGUUGUCUCCAUCCGCCUUGUGCCCUUCGGGGUACGGGGUGGACGCGAGGCGGGCUCUGUGUUCCCUGCGUGUUGAGUGCACUGUCACUUGACCGUUGUGGCCCAUGGGGUCUCAGCCCGUGCUCUCGGAUGUGGAAUGUUGUGUUUGGGGGUGGGGUCUCGACCUCUUCUCGUCCAAGCAACACGCAAUGUCCCUUGACAUGAAUGACCGUCGCUCCCGUCUUGAUCGGACGACCGAGCCCCCAUUGCGGGGUCUUGGGAGGUCGGUUCAUGCGGGUGUUGGCGUCGUAGAGGAAUGC
This 334-nucleotide unclassified non-coding RNA is filed under the name Zanthoxylum clava-herculis. Its description in RNAcentral is "partial external transcribed spacer". The record is from RNAcentral. Lineage: Eukaryota; Viridiplantae; Streptophyta; Magnoliopsida; Sapindales; Rutaceae.